This 302-nucleotide ribosomal RNA is filed under the name uncultured bacterium. RNAcentral describes it as "partial 16S ribosomal RNA". It matches the Rfam family "Bacterial small subunit ribosomal RNA", at positions 508 to 807 of the family's 1533-position model. The record is from RNAcentral.
GCAGUAGCCACGGUAAUACGAAGGGUGCAAGCGUUAAUCGGAAUUACUGGGCGUAAAGCGUGCGUAGGCGGUGAGUUAAGUCUGCUGUGAAAUCCCCGGGCUCAACCUGGGAAUGGCAGUGGAUACUGGCUCGCUAGAGUGUGUCAGAGGAUGGUGGAAUUCCCGGUGUAGCGGUGAAAUGCGUAGAGAUCGGGAGGAACAUCAGUGGCGAAGGCGGCCAUCUGGGACAACACUGACGCUGAGGCACGAAAGCGUGGGGAGCAAACAGGAUUAGAUACCCCGGUAGUCCCUGUCUCUUAUAC